RNAcentral lists this ribosomal RNA (253 nucleotides) under uncultured bacterium. Its description in RNAcentral is "partial 16S ribosomal RNA". It matches the Rfam family "Bacterial small subunit ribosomal RNA", at positions 524 to 776 of the family's 1533-position model. The record is from RNAcentral.
UACGUAGGGUGCAGGCGUUAAUCGGAAUUACUGGGCGUAAAGCGUGCGCAGGCGGUUUCUUAAGUCAGAUGUGAAAGCCCCGGGCUUAACCUGGGAACUGCGUUUGAAACUGGGAGACUAGAGUGUGGCAGAGGGGGGUGGAAUUCCACGUGUAGCAGUGAAACGCGUAGAUAUGUGGAGGAACACCGAUGGCGAAGGCAGCCCCCUGGGUUAACACUGACGCUCAUGCACGAAAGCGUGGGGAGCAAACAGG